GUGAAUCAUCAAAUCUUUGAACGCAAAUUGCACUCUCUGGUAUUCCGGAGAGUAUGUUUGUUUGAUGGUCAGUUUAAAUAAAAAUGGGUGUGGUUGCUGCCUUUCGUGGUGACGCACCGGAUUUGGGGCGUCUUGCUUUUGGUUAAGUGACCUAUAAUUUUGCAUGGUUUUUUCGUACGUUUUUAAUUGAUUAUAAGUACGUUUGCUGUAUCGAAUGAUAGGUGUGGUCAUCCUCAUGAUUGGUGUCUCUAAUUUUUCCUUAAAAUGACGUCACUUCAU
This 279-nucleotide unclassified non-coding RNA is filed under the name Glomeraceae sp. RNAcentral describes it as "partial contains 5.8S ribosomal RNA and internal transcribed spacer 2". The stretch from base 1 to 71 matches the Rfam family "5.8S ribosomal RNA", at positions 84 to 154 of the family's 154-position model. Lineage: Eukaryota; Fungi; Glomeromycota; Glomeromycetes; Glomerales; Glomeraceae. The record is from RNAcentral.